RNAcentral lists this microRNA (21 nucleotides) under Chrysemys picta bellii (western painted turtle). RNAcentral's name for it is "Cpi-Mir-34-P3d_3p* (star (passenger))". The record is from RNAcentral. Lineage: Eukaryota; Metazoa; Chordata; Testudines; Emydidae.
GCAACUAAAUACGCUUCCACA